GUGCUCGCUUCGGCAGCACAUGGACUAAAAUUGGAACGAUACAGAGAAGAUUAGCAUGGCCCCUGUGCAAGGAUGACACGCAAAUUCAUGAAGCAUUCCAUAUUUUU
This is a small nuclear RNA of Bos indicus x Bos taurus (hybrid cattle), 107 nucleotides long. Lineage: Eukaryota; Metazoa; Chordata; Mammalia; Artiodactyla; Bovidae. The record is from Ensembl.